Molecule: long non-coding RNA, 1364 nt
Organism: Epinephelus lanceolatus (giant grouper)
Lineage: Eukaryota; Metazoa; Chordata; Actinopteri; Perciformes; Serranidae
Source: RefSeq, a predicted model, not a curated record
GUCGAGUUGUAAACAAAGAUGGACGCCGAGGAAAUAGACGUAUGUUGUCAAGCACUGUUUUUCCAACGCACUUUCAAAAGUGCACAGAACAUUUGCGGCAUUUUAAGGCGGAGGAGAAAGAAGAGAGCAGUUAUUAAGGCCUGGGCAUAUGCUGCAGUUAUCGCUGCCACGUCGGUUCAGCGCAACGUGUGGGCACUGGAAAGGACUCAAGAUUGGUGGGAUCGUGUUGUGGUAAACUGGAACCAGGAAGAAUGGGUCAGCAACUUUCACAUGCGGAGAUAAACGUUUAACAUGUUGUGUGAGCGGCUGUCGCCAAGGCUCUCCUACAAGGAUACAAAAUUUCGCCAGGCAAUCCCAGUGCAGAAGCGUGUAGGAGUCGGACUAUGGUGGUUUGCUACAGGGACUGGUUAUCUGGGCUAUCGAUGGAAGCCAUAUCCCCAUCAUUGCUCCUGCUGAAAACCACACAGAUUACUUCAACCGAAAGGGAUGGCAUUCCAUGCUGCUGCAAGCAGUGGUCGACCACAGAUUUUGUUUCACAAACAUUAAUGUGGGGUGGCCAGGGAAUUCAGAAAUCUAUGACACGGAAGAAAGAGGAGUCCUUUUUCUAGACACCACAGAGGAGAUUGGAGGCACAGCAGUGCCCAUCAUGCUGGUGGGGGAUCCAGCAUACCCACUUCGGUCAUGGCUGAUGAAGGGCUACCCAGAGAUGGGAAAUGUGAAUGAAGACCAGCGUUACUUCAACAAGAGAUUAAGCAGGGCCAGAAUGUCUGUGGACUGUGCCUUCGGGUGUUUAAAAGGUCGAUGAAGGUGCCUGGCAAAACGUCUUGAUGUAGACAUAACACUGGUCCCUACAGUCAUCUCUGCUUGCUGCACUUUGCAUAACAUUUGCGAAAAACACAACGGGGCAUACACUGAAGAUCCUGAUGCAGCUGGGCCUUCUGACGUACCACCAGUGCCUGUUGACCAGUUGGGUGUUGCAGACAUCCAACCAUUAAGAGUGAGGGAGGCACUGGCCCAACAUUUUGCUCAACACCACUGAACUUAGGUGUCUUUAACUUCCCUUUACAUAACUAGUAACUAACAAGGGAUGUAUUGAAUUGAUGUUAAUUGCGCUAUUACACAUACUAUAUUCUUUCUUCUUCUGAUCUCGGAAAAAAUAAAUAAAAAUAAUUGAUGAUUGAUAUAAUCAUUAGUGGCAGCCCUCUGUACAAUCGCACUGAAAGUGCCUUGGUAGAGUAAUUGUACAGAAUGUUUUUGUUAUUCUUCCUCCAAGUAUGGCUGCCUGUAUUACAGCAACAGCUGAUAUUAUUUGUAAGGGAUUAUUUGCAUCCGAAGCAUAAUAAAAGUCGAGUCAAAAUUCUCAA